This 460-nucleotide ribosomal RNA is filed under the name uncultured bacterium. RNAcentral's name for it is "partial 16S ribosomal RNA". It matches the Rfam family "Bacterial small subunit ribosomal RNA", at positions 338 to 795 of the family's 1533-position model. The record is from RNAcentral.
CCUACGGGAGGCAGCAGUGAGGAAUAUUGGUCAAUGGACGAGAGUCUGAACCAGCCAAGUAGCGUGAAGGAUGACUGCCCUAUGGGUUGUAAACUUCUUUUAUAUGGGAAUAAAACGUUCCACGUGUGGGAUUUUGUAUGUACCAUAUGAAUAAUGAUCGGCUAACUCCGUUCCAGCAGCCGCGGUAAUACGGAGGAUCCGAGCGUUAGCCGGAUUUAUUGGGUUUAAAGGGAGCGUAGGUGGAUUGUUAAGUCAGUUGUGAAAGUUUUCGGCUCAACCGUAAAAUUGCAUGUGAAACUGGCAGUCUUGAGUAGAGUAGAGGUGGGCGGAAUUCGUGGUGUAGCGGUGAAAUGCUUAGAUAUCACGAAGAACUCCGAUUGCGAAGGCAGUUCACUGGACUGCAACUGACACUGAGGCUCGAAAGUGUGGGUAUCAAACAGGAUUAGAUACCCUUGUAGUC